UCCUACGGGAGGCAGCAGUGGGGAAUUUUGGACAAUGGGCGCAAGCCUGAUCCAGCAAUGCCGCGUGAGUGAAGAAGGCCUUCGGGUUGUAAAGCUCUUUCAGUUGAAAAGAAAAAGUCGUGACUAAUAAUCAUGGCUCAUGACGGUAUCAACGAGAGCCGUCA
Molecule: ribosomal RNA, 164 nt
Filed under: uncultured Nitrosomonas sp.
Lineage: Bacteria; Pseudomonadati; Pseudomonadota; Betaproteobacteria; Nitrosomonadales; Nitrosomonadaceae
Description: partial 16S ribosomal RNA
Rfam family: Bacterial small subunit ribosomal RNA
Source: RNAcentral